UCGAGGAUCAUUCGCAAUGCGCGAAAGCGUGACGAUGCGACGCCGCGUGCAGGAUGACGGCCUUCGGGUUGUAAACUGCUGUCGUGAGGGAACAAGGGAUGUGACAUUAAUAAUGUCAUAUAGUGAUAGUACCUCAGGAGGAAGACACGGCAAACUCUGUGCCAGCAGCCGCGGUAAUACAGAGGUGUCAAGCGUUGUUCGGAUUUACUGGGCGUAAAGGGUGCGUAGGCGGUUAGGUGUGUUAAGUGUGAAAUCUUAUCGGUUAACGAUGAAACUGCGCUUAAAACUACUUAACUAGAGUACAGGAGAGGAGAGCAGAAUUCUUGGUGUAGCAGUGAAAUGCGUAGAUAUCAAGAGGAAUACCGGAGGCGAAGGCGGCUCUCUGGAAUGAUACUGACGCUGAGGCACGAAAGCUGGGGGAGCAAACA
RNAcentral lists this ribosomal RNA (428 nucleotides) under uncultured prokaryote. RNAcentral describes it as "bacterial SSU rRNA". It matches the Rfam family "Bacterial small subunit ribosomal RNA", at positions 355 to 774 of the family's 1533-position model. The record is from RNAcentral.